Molecule: ribosomal RNA, 253 nt
Filed under: uncultured bacterium
Lineage: Bacteria
Description: partial 16S ribosomal RNA
Rfam family: Bacterial small subunit ribosomal RNA
Source: RNAcentral
UACGGAGGGUGCAAGCGUUAAUCGGAAUUACUGGGCGUAAAGCGCGCGUAGGCGGCUGGAUAAGUCGAUUGUGAAAGCCCCGGGCUCAACCUGGGAAUUGCAGUCGAGACUGUUCGGCUAGAGUGUGGGAGAGGGUGGUGGAAUUCCCGGUGUAGCGGUGAAAUGCGUAGAUAUCGGGAGGAACAUCAGUGGCGAAGGCGGCAUCCUGGACCGACACUGACACUGAGGAGCGAAAGCCAGGGGAGCAAACGGG